Molecule: ribosomal RNA, 253 nt
Filed under: uncultured bacterium
Lineage: Bacteria
Description: partial 16S ribosomal RNA
Rfam family: Bacterial small subunit ribosomal RNA
Source: RNAcentral
UACAGAGGUCCCAAGCGUUGUUCGGAUUCAUUGGGCGUAAAGGGUGCGUAGGCGGCGCGGUAAGUCGGGUGUGAAAUCUCGGAGCUUAACUCCGAAGCUGCAUUCGAUACUGCCGUGCUUGAGGACUGGAGGGGAGACUGGAAUUUACGGUGUAGCGGUGAAAUGCGUAGAUAUCGUAAGGAAGACCAGUGGCGAAGGCGGGUCUCUGGACAGUUCCUGACGCUGAGGCACGAAGGUCAGGGGAGCAAACGGG